CUGUGCAUUAACAAAGACGGUCCAUCUGAUCCGAUGGAAGAAGACGACAACUCCACCGACAAGGACAUGUGAGCUGUCAUAACAACGUGGACCCGACCACGAUAAAAAGGAACUAUCUACUGUACAUAGCAAUAGUGUGCCACCUUUUAGCUAUAAAUAUGUAUCACUUGAGCAUUAGCACUCAAGACUUAUCGAAACCCCUCUCAACCCUUUUAAACUUGUAAUCCAAAGUUCAAAUGCAAUAAAGAAAACCUUUUGGUUUUAUCUCUCUCAGUCUAGCAAUAGACUUUUACUUUGCCACUAGAUCACCUAGUGAACGAUAAAAGAUACAUAUCGGCUGUAAGUAGCCUAGUAGCCGUAAAUCUCCUGAAUAGUACCUGAAUAGCCACUAAGUCCCGUUAAUGAAGAGAAUGGAAGGGCAUGGUUGGUAUUGGAGUAGGGGAAGCCUUGUGAAAGUACAAAGGUAUGUAUCUAAAGCUUAAAUUUUAAGAUGGAAACCAUCUUGCAAGAGUUUAUCCAAAUUAUAGAUCAUAUUGACUGGUCUUGUUUAGAAUCCUUAAGAAGAUGUUCUGAGUUGCUCAGAAUUAAAAUAGAACUGUUAGAUGACAGUAUCCCAACUUAUAUAGAUGAUGACUGGUGGAACCAACCCCAGUGUAUACCCUUAAGUUAUAAGCUUAGGAUGUUAAGAAGCAUUCGUAAAAAGGUGCUUAAAUGUAUAGAAGAUGUUGAAACUGAUAAUCUUCAGCAUGCACAAGAUCCUGAUGAAGAUCAGGUUACAGAUUAUGUAUCAGACACAGAUAGCUCUUAGAAAGCUAAAAAUGUUUUCCGCUUGUUGUAUAUCGGCUGGAAACCAAUAACAUCCUCCAUUAAGAGGAAACCUUUGGUAUAACAACGCCACGUACAACGUGUUUUUGAAAUUUGGUAUCAGAGCCUUGUUUAGGUUCAGAAAUGAUAUCCGUUAUAUUAUAUGUUUAGAUUCUGUAAAGAAACUAACAUUACAGAAAUGAGUACUACGGAAACUCAUCAAGAAGAUGAAGACUUUCAUCAAGAAGUCUUUGAAGCAGAAGGUGUCUUUGGACAAGACAUAACACUUAACGACAGUCUACUUGACCAGGUACGUAAGACUAAUUUAUCUCUUACUCCUGAUGAAGUAUUUAAAUCUUUAAGUACUGUAGAAAAAGUUAAGAAUAAGUUGUUCUGUAGAAAGAACCAUAUUAUCACAUGUAUUUCCACUAGAGAAUAUCCUUUAGAUAUUAAGGACACACGUGGACAUACUGAGAUUCCUUUUGUAUUAAAGGAAGAAAUAACACAGAAAUUAUCUAAGAUCCCUUCGGAUGUUAGAAAAACUAUUAGCUAUAUCCAUAUAGGCAGCAUAAAGAUUAUGCUAAAAGCUACCUUUAGGGAAGGUAUCAAUAGCCCAGUAAAAAUGGCUUUACUGGAUAGAAGGAUGUUAAAUCCUCAAGAUGCUAUCUUUGGUGCAGUCCAAGGAAAUCUAGCGUAUGGUAAACUAAUAUUUACCUGUAGUCCCAAGAUUGGUGUUCCUUUGACCACCAACAACAUAAAUUCUAUUCUGUGCUUUGCACAUGAAUUUUCUAGGACCGAUCUCAUGCGAGAAGGAGAUAUGCCCUUUAGUGUGACCUAUAAAAUAGGUUAUGCCCUUACCAAUAGUCAUCAUUCGAUGAUGUUUAAAUCUGGGGAUCCAAUCUCCAUUGAAGGAAUCUUUAAAGAAAUCGGACAGGUUUCCAAUAUUCCUUUCCAAGAGGUUCCACCUCUUCAGUCCAUAUGGGCUAUGGACUUAACUCCUAAACAAUUUCUAGGAGCCCAACCAACUCUUCGUAUUGAGCCAAGCUCAUCACGAAUACCCCUUGUUGUUGAACAACAAGAAGAAGAAGAUGAGGCUUUACCUCAAAUUACCAGUUGGACCUACAAUCCAAACUUUUCGAGAGAUCGUAGAGCCCAAUUAGUGGCCCAAAACCGUUUACACGGAAGACCUCAAUAUGACCCUGAAAGUGUCAAUAGUGUUAGCCGAAGAAUUACCAGGCUAAGUAAUGACAUUGCAUAAUGUCUUAUACUGCUAGACCUCAUGUCUAUUACAGUAAGAAAUAUGUUGGCCUUAAAAACCAACAAGUCACCACCAAUUCGCCUACAUGUAUGUAUAGUGGAGGACAGGGAAUACAAGGAUGUAUAUCCCAUCUUAAUAAUCUUAAUACCGUGUCCGGUAUUACUAUGCUUAUGGUUAAUUCCAUAUGUUCUAUGUUUGGAAUUCCUUCCAAACAAUUUUUCAGUGGGGAGGGAGAGGACUUCGAUUCAUUCACCCUUACACCAAAACCUGUGAAAUUUUCCCAGUUCACAAACCAAGGUCUCAAUAGUCUUGUCAAGACUGUUGAAAAUCAUACGAUAGAUCUCAAGCUUAGAUUAGCGGAUCUUACAACUAAGGUUGAUAACCUUGAAAAACAGUUAAGUUCCUUACAGAACUUAGAUAAGAUUGUAAAUAGCCUUUUACAUCUAGAUCCUACUAAGAUAAACCUUAUCUUAGAAACUGUCAAAAGUAUAGACCAGAAAGUCUAAGCAUGACCUCUAAUCAAGGUAAAAUAGAUCGCCUAGAGAAGGUUAUCCUAGAUCUAGCCGACAACUUUAAGUCUAUAGAAGACAGACAACAGGAUAUGAUUAGAAAUCAUAUAGAAACAUCAGCGGCUACUAUAAUAGCAGCCCUCAGAAAACAACUAGAAGAGAUAGAAAAAUCCCUUUUAGUAAUAGCAGAUGCCAUUAGAGCAUGUGAUUGUAAUAAAGAAAUUCUUUCUUUAUUCGAAAAACAUUUAGGUAAACUACCUGAAGGACUUCCUGUUUCCCCAAGAGCCCCAAAAACUAUUCCUGCUUUAGAACCAACAGGAACAGCUAGGGACACUCGUGCCCCUACAGGAUAUGUACCAACUACCAUUAGUAGUUUUACAUAUAUACCCAAAUGAAGCCUUACAAGUCCGUCAAGGAUCAGCUUCUAGAAUAUUAUAUGGCUCAAGACCAUACACCUUAUACAGAUACGGUCAUAAGAGUUUUAAGUCUUACCGACCCUGAAAUAGAAUCUACCCCUUUAGAAAAGGAGUAUGAAGACAUUAACAUUGUGGUAGCAAUACCAAGAGAAGAAAAUCUCAGAGUAGAUAUCUCUGAAGAAAUGGAAGCUGAGUCAUCAGCCCAAGGAGCCACUAGGAACCCACCAAGUGGAACAACCUAUGAUAGACCUAGACAGUCUAGAGCCCCAAGGUAUAGCAAUACCACAUAUCAAAGUGGACCAGUUGGAGGUUCAUAUCAAUCCGGAAAAACUUCUGGAUAUAAAAAGUUCAGAGUGCCUGAAGAAUAUAGACCUGAUAAGUCUUUUGACUUCUUUGAAGUUUUAAAUGUCAACUGUAUGUCUAACGAAGAAAGAAAACUUCGUAUAGAAGGAUGGCAUAAUAAUAUGGUUUUAAUAAUCCAAACAGAUGAUCAUGUCAGAGAUGAUUUUAGCUUAGCCCACAUCCUUAUGCUUAAGAAGAGUGUAGGCCUAGCCCAUAAACUCAUAGAAGGCUUGAACAAAGAUGAGUUCAUGAUAGGAACUUGUGAAGAUUUCUUGCAAAAUGUUGUGAAUCUGUUAUACUCAGUAUUCAUAGGAAUUAACUAUCUCACAGAUAGUGCAAACCAGAUCAGGAUAGAGCAAGAAAACUCUAGAUUAAGAUUAUCACGAUUACAGAUUUGUGAUUUAUGUGAAUUAGAUGCUUUCACAUGUGAUUAUGAAGAGCAUUUAUUCAACCUUCCUAACCAGGAAUGGAUCAAGUAUAUUGAGGACUAUAUUAGGAAAAUCCCUCAUAUAGGACCCUUGGUUAUCAAAGAAUAUCAGGAGUUACCCCCGAUAAACAAAUUAAGUUUAGCAGUAGCUAAAAACCUAGUCAAAGCUAAGUUAGAGAAAAUAUGCACCGAUAGGAUGCUAGCUAAGAAAACUAAGAAGGUGAACCUUUGUUGUUCAGAAUUUUUAGGACCAGAAACUAUGUAUGGUUGUGAAACUAUACCCAAGCUUCGAAAAUGGAAGAAGAAGCUUAAGAAAAAAUAUAGGUUUUCUAAGCCUAAGAGAAAACAUUAUUAUAAGACUUCUAAGAAGUUUAGGAAGUACUAUAAUAAACCAAAAUAUAGGAAACGUUUCUUCAAGAAACACAAACCUAGGAAUACUAGAGCCUUAAACUAUGAACCACAAGCAGUUCAGCCCAAGGAUAAGGCAAAGUAUUGCCCUCAAAAGAAAAAAGAUUGCAAAUGUUGGAUUUGCCAAGAAGUUGGACAUUACAGUAAUGAAUGCCCAAACACAAAACAAAAUAAGGCCCAAGCCCGAGUCUUAGAACAAAUUAUGAGCUUAGAACAUCUAGCUCCAAUAGAAGACACACUUAGUGACCUAAGUGAUGACGAAAGCCUCUAUUUAUUAGAAUCAGACACAGAAGAAGAUUAUGAGCUGUCAGAUAGUGACUACUCAACAACUUCUGAUUCAGAGGAUCAAGAGUAAUCUUGACACUAUCGACCCAGGAUGGGACGAUAUAGAAUGGUGGGACUCCCUCCUACCAAUAGAUAAUAAUGACACUUGUCAUUUAGAGAAAGAACAAAUCGACGCAAUCAGUGCAACCGAUUUUGAUGACUUGUUAGAAGAACAAGACAUCACACCAAACUCGACUUUAUGUAAAGUUGAAAGAUUAGAUGAUGAGAUAUCUCACCUAGAAUGGAUUGAUUUAUCACUCCAUGAAAAAGAGAUCUCAGAUCUCAAUAAAGUUAGCCGCACUCAUGUAAAUUCAAUUUAUAUACGCGGAACAUUGUCCUUUAGUGGAUAUCGAAAGUAUAAUGUUGACUGUUAUGUUGACACUGGCGCUAGUAUGUGUUUAGCUAAUAAACACAUAAUUCCACCUAACUUUUGGGUAAAAGCAAAAGUCCCUAUCUAUGCUAAAUUAGCGGACGAUACAGUCCAAGAAUUUGAUAUAGUAGCAGAAAAGAUAGACAUCCUUAUCCAGGACAAGGUGUUUACUAUUCCAACAUUAUAUCAAACCACCAGUAGGUAUGAUAUCUUACUAGGCAACAACUUUUGUCGCCUUUAUGAACCAUUUGGACAAUGGGGUAGAAUUAUUGCCUUCCAUAAUGAUGGUCAGAUGGUAGUUUGUCCUAAACUAACCACCGCCUAUUACCAAGGUAAACCUGGAUUCUUAGAAUCUAAAGCCUAUGGGAGCAAAACCAAAGCCCCACUACCCGAAACUAUUGCUCAAAAUCUUGAUUUUGAUCAAAAAAAUCUGGGGGAGGAUACCCAUACUUCCGUCCCACAUGAUUUAAUGUGCAGUUUAAUGAAUUUGUCAACUAUAGAAACUAAACUUGAUGCAGUUUGUAGUGACAAUCCAUUAGACCUUAGAAUAUCUAAACAACAGUUUAGAGCCAGUAUUAGGUUAGCAAACCCUAGUACAAAAAUCAAAGUUGCACCCAUGCAAUAUACCAAAGAAGAUAGAGAUGAGUUCUCUAAACAAAUAAAAGAACUUCUAGAUGCUAAGUUAAUCCAACCUAGCAAGUCCCCUCACUUUAGCCCGGCGUUCUUAGUCAAUAAGCACUCCGAACAAAAAAGAGGAAAAAGACGAAUGGUCAUCAAUUAUAAAAAAUUGAAUGAUCACACUAUAGGAGAUGGUUAUCUUCUACCUAGAAAAGAUGAGCUGUUAGAUCAGAUCAGAGGAAAAAAGAUAUUUUCCUCCUUUGAUUGUAAAAGUGGAUUCUGGCAGGUAUUGUUAGAUGAAACGUCACAAUCAUUAACAGCAUUCACUUGUCCUCAAGGACAUUUUGAAUGGAAAGUCAUGCCUUUCGGCCUAAAGCAAGCCCCAUCCAUUUUUCAAAGGCAUAUGAAUGAGACCUUCAUGGGUCUUGAAAACUUUUGUCGUAUUUAUGUUGACGAUAUUAUCAUUUUCUCAGAAAACGACAAAGAACACAUCGAGCAUGUUUCACAAGUGCUUGACAGGUGUAAAGAGGUAGGAGUCAUCCUAUCUAAACCAAAAGCCCAACUUUUUAGGGAAAAAAUAGAAUUCCUUGGUCUAAUCAUAGAUAGAGGAAAGCUUCAGCUACAGAAGCAUAUAGGAGAAAAUAUUACUGCUUUCAACAGUAAAAUAACUGAUAGAAAACAGUUACAAAGAUUUUUAGGUAUAUUAAAUUAUAUCUCACAGUUUUGUCCUAAGGUUGCACAGAUACGACAACCUCUACAGGCAAAGUUAAAGAAGGAUGCUUUCUGGCAAUGGUCAGACAGUGAUACGGCUUAUGUUGACAAAAUCAAAAAAGCCAUAAAGAAUCUUCCACCGGUGCACCAUCCCGGUCCAGACGAGCCCCUAAUCAUUGAAACCGAUGCUUCGGACAAUUAUUGGGGAGGAAUCUUAAAAUCUAAACAAUCAGACGGCUUAGAAUUAAUAUGUGGCUAUGCCAGCGGUACCUUUAAACCAGCUGAAAAGAAUUACCACAGCAACGAAAAAGAAAUCUUGGCCCUUAUAAAUACCAUUAAAAGGUUUCAAGUAUUUCUCAUCCCAGUUCAGUUCACAGCACGAACUGAUAAUAAAAAUGUGUUUUAUUUCUUACACACAAACAUUCAUGGUUCUUAUAAACAAGGAAGACUGGUAAGAUGGCAACUCUGGUUGUCUUAUUUUGAUAUUAUAUUUGAGCAUGUUGCAGGAACUAAUAAUGUUUUUGCAGAUUUCUUGAGUAGAGAAUUCUCAGAAUGACUCAACAUCUCUUAGAUGAGAUCAAGGUCAUUGACCAAAAGAUUCAAAGAGCAGAAAAGCUCAUUGAAGAAAAGCAAAUGAAGAUUGAACGUCUUCAACGCAAAAAAGGUAAGUUGUCUGAACAACUUAAGUCCAAAACUCUUGGACCAGAGGGUCUCUUAGAGAGAUUCACACAAAGUAUGGCUGAUGCCAAGGAAAAGAGUCUCACUCCUUCACAGGAACCUGAGACCAUUGAGGAUCGCAAGGAUACCUCAUAUAAUAUAGGUUCUACCUCUGGUAGCCUAAAAGAGGAGGCAUGUCAGGCCACUUCUAAACAUUAUACCAUUUUUAAUGGUCCAAAUGCGGGUUGCUAUAAAGAUUGGGCAACUGUCCAAAAACUGGUUUCUGGAAAGCCAGUAGCCUUUAAAGGUUAUCCAAAUUAUGGUCUUGCAAGACAGGCCUUUAUAGAUUAUUGUAUGAAAAAUAAUAUCACCCUUCAUACAACCCCAACUUUAAUAUCCCCGACUGAUUUACUUCAGCCAAACAGAAUUCCCAGCUAUGCUGAGAAAGCAAAAAUGCCAGCAAACCCAGUACAGGAAAGAACCUUUGCUAGGUUUAAUAAGAUAUCUGUCAAAAAUCCAGAUGAACAUGAUUUCAUUCCCCUUGAAACAUUUACCCAUUAUUACAGACUUGCUGAAGUUUGUAACACAACAGAAGGCUGUUUUAUAAGCCAAAUAAAUAAUUCCAGAUACUACAAUGCUGGAGAAGGAGCAGAUCCAUCCUUAGUAUCCACUCUGUUUCAUUGUGGAUUAUUACAAAGUAUCUGUCCAAGUGCUAACUUGCAGGAAAUCAGUAAACUUCCUCAGGGAAUUUACACAGCAAUCAAGCAAUAUAGGACUAAAGUCCUAAAAGAACAGAAUAGGAGAGUUCUCCUCACCAUCCGCAGUUCAUACUUGGACUGGCACGAGACAGAAGAUGAGACUGAUUGUCUCAAGAACUAUCCUUCAUACCACUUCAUCAAAAUUGGUAUGUUAAAACAUAUGGACGUGACCCCUUGCACAUCCAUCAAAUCAGAAAUUACCAGCAACCUCAGCAUGGUACUUCCCAAACUCCGAGCACAAAGCUUAGGAAGAAUAAUUUCCAAACUCAGGAAAUAUUACAAAGACUCGUUAAUUCGGGUUAACUACCAAAGUGCACAUAGCAUCAUAAUAUCUGACAGCCUGUCAGUAAUCAGUGAUCAAGACUGUAGAAAGCUCCAGGAUUAUGAAGCUCAAUUCUAUGGAAAUGAUUUGGAGGUUUCCUACACCACCAAGAAGGCCUAUUGCAGUUAUGGGUCAAGAGAUCACAGGUGCACUCUGUGCAUUAACAAAGACGGUCCAUCUGAUCCGAUGGAAGAAGACGACAACUCCACCGACAAGGACAUGUGAGCUGUCAUAACAACGUGGACCCGACCACGAUAAAAAGGAACUAUCUACUGUACAUAGCAAUAGUGUGCCACCUUUUAGCUAUAAAUAUGUAUCACUUGAGCAUUAGCACUCAAGACUUAUCGAAACCCCUCUCAACCCUUUUAAACUUGUAAUCCAAAGUUCAAAUGCAAUAAAGAAAACCUUUUGGUUUUAUCUCUCUCAGUCUAGC
RNAcentral lists this long non-coding RNA (8357 nucleotides) under Populus trichocarpa (black cottonwood). RNAcentral's name for it is "long non-coding RNA (PTRI_LNC004697)". The record is from RNAcentral. Lineage: Eukaryota; Viridiplantae; Streptophyta; Magnoliopsida; Malpighiales; Salicaceae.